Molecule: ribosomal RNA, 306 nt
Filed under: Klebsiella pneumoniae
Lineage: Bacteria; Pseudomonadati; Pseudomonadota; Gammaproteobacteria; Enterobacterales; Enterobacteriaceae
Description: bacterial SSU rRNA
Rfam family: Bacterial small subunit ribosomal RNA
Source: RNAcentral
AGGAAGAAGUCUCGGCUAACUACGUGCCAGCAGCCGCGGUAAUACGUAGGAGACGAGCGUUGUCCGGAGUUACUGGGCGUAAAGGGUGCGCAGGCGGCCGCACGCGUCGCGAGUGAAAUCUCCCGGCUCAACUGGGAGGGUGGUCGCGAGACGGUGUGGCUUGAGGCUCGGAGAGGGGCGUGGAAUUCCGGGUGGAGCGGUGAAAUGCGUAGAGAUCCGGAGGAACACCAACGGCGAAGGCAGCGCCCUGGACGAGACCUGACGCUCAGGCACGAAAGCUCGGGGAGCGAACAGGAUUAGAUACCC